RNA transcript from Leptidea sinapis, 2472 nucleotides. It is a transcript of the gene named G protein-activated inward rectifier potassium channel 3-like, with no coding region annotated. NCBI's taxonomy places the organism in Eukaryota, Metazoa, Arthropoda, Insecta, Lepidoptera, Pieridae. The record is from RefSeq and is a predicted model, not a curated record. The transcript is spliced from 10 exons.
UAUAAAAUAAAUCUCCAACUAACUAAAACAUAAUAAUAAAAAGUUGAAGAAUUCUAAACAAGAGUAAGACAAACAAAAACAACAAUAUAAAGUUUUAAAUGUGAAAAAUUAAAUCGUGCAUUGUGUUACAAAAGAAAACGAAUACUAAUAAAUUAGAAUACUCGAAGUGGAUUAGAUACAGUGGUUGAGGUGAUUGGUUUUAAUGACGUGGUUUUAUUGGAGAUUUGUGAAAUUUGCAGUGUUAGAGCUCAAGUAGUAGUGAAAUUUUUUAUGAUAUUAUUGUUACAACACAUAUUAAUAAUAAAUUGGACAUGAAGAUAUAGAGUAAAUGAAAAUUGUAUAAAAUUGUUAACUACAGUACAUAAAUAUGGCUAAUAAUAACUAUGAAAGUGAAAGGAGAGGUAGUAGAAACAGAGCUUUAGAACGAUCAUUAAGUUACUCCGAAGCAAUUGGCAAUGGGUCUGCCAGAUCUUCAAUAGAGAUUCCCAGAAUUGCCAACACCGAAGUAUAUACAAACGAGGAAUUAAAGAAACAUUACAGAAUUUCACAAACAUAUGUAGAAGGGAAGGAGAUUGUAUUCCCAAAUAUUGUUACUAAUGUGGAUACAACUGUGCCGAUGGAUUUUGGAGGUUAUGUAUACAGUUCGCAGUCUAGUGAAGAUGAACAAACAGAUUCUGGGUUAAUUAUGACGAUAGAUGUUGAGACAGAAAGUCCCAGGUCGUCAGACAAACGGAAUGUUUCAGACGCGUCUACUAGACCCCUAGUCAGCAGUAGCUCUCCUAAUGACACCUAUGAAAGUAUAGAACCAGAUCGCGAGGGUAUUUACAAUGAGGCUCCUUCAUCUGUGUUCGAGUAUUCAACGCCAUAUUCAAAACGACGAAGAGCAGCCAAGAGAUGUCGUCGACAGCAUGGAAGACCGAUGCGAUCUAGAAGAGUGGUCCACAAGAGCGGAGAAGAAAACGUACCGGUGAGAAGCAACAUUCCUUCAAAGUCUAUGAAGUAUAUGAGGGAUAUUGUUAACACUGUGAUAAACAGUAAAUGGCGCUACAUGAUUUUGUUGAUUAUGUUUUCCCACUUUGUCUUCUGGUUGCUGUUCGCCAGCAUAUGGUACGUGGUGUCUGCUUCGUAUCAGGAAGAUAUCGGUGAUGGGAAGGAGCAUUGCAUCACCGGCACAUCGUCGUUUGCUGGUAUGCUCAUGAUGGCUGUUGAAACUCAGAUGACAAUAGGCUACGGUGUGAGGUACCCGAACGAGGAGUGUCCUGAAGCGAUAGUUAUAAUGGUACUAGAGAUCGUUGCCGGAACCGCAUUGUCUGGAGGACUAUCGAGUCUGCUCUUCACCAAGCUCGUACGACCAAACAAACUUGUAACGUCUGUAGGCUUCAGUAACAAAGCUACUGUUUGUCUGAGGGAUGGAGAGCUCUGCUUACAGUUCCGAGUGUGGGAUUUCUUGAGCACCCAUCUCAUCGGUAGCACCAUCAAUGCGUACCUACAUAAACCAAUCCGGACCCUGGAAGGCGAGCUCGUCCCGAACUACAUUCAGCAGUUGAAGCUGUGCCAGGCUCGCGCGUUGCUGCUCUGGCCAAUCACAGUCGUCCACGUCAUAGACGCUGAGAGCCCGCUUUUCCACAUGUCCGCUGAAGACAUGAUGGACUAUAGGUUUGAGAUAGUGGUGUGCCUGACAGGCGCGUCUAAGAGUUUGGGAACGACGACCCAAAGCCGAACGUCAUACUUGUCAAAGGAGAUUAUCUGGGGAUAUAGAUUUAAAAAUGUUUUGAAGUAUUGCAAAAAAGCUGAAGCCUAUACCAUUGACGUAGAUAACCUGAACACAGUUGAACAAGUAGAAACUCCACUCUGCAGCGCGAGCAGGCUCAAGGAGUUCGAAGAAGACAUGAGGUCUGAACAGCUUUUAUCCACGAUCGAUCUGUCGACCUCUCCUACCAACCUAUCCCUGAGCCAGGACGAGACGUUGUCCAGAGUUGGAGAGUCAGUACCGUCUACGCCAGUGCUGAACAGAACAGGAACACAACGGAGUUAUGGAUGGAGUUUCAAGAGGUUUUAUCCUGAGAGAUUCCAGAGGUCUAGGGAUGUUGGAAAACAAAUGCAGGAGUUGGAAAAAUAACAAGUUCUUAAUAUAAUUUACUAUCAGGCGUUUCUUUGUGAGAGCUUAGAAUUAGUAGUUUAGCUGCAAAAUCAAGAACUUUUUACCGCUUGUAGUGGAGACCAGAAGUUCAAGAGGUGGUUGUACAGCGAAUAGAAACCUUCAAAUUAACGCCUGCUAAUAAUAAAUGAACCUUCAUAAGUUACAGUUAAGUCUUAAUUAAACAGGGUUGCUCAAUUGUUGUACUAAUAGCAUGAAGUAAUUUUUGGAAAAGUAGGAGGAAACGCGAUGAAUUAACACGCAGAGUAACUGAUGCUGUGAUGUGUUCACCUUCUCACAAGGUCUCUUAUGACACAAGAUAAUUUUUGAAAGAG